GCUUACGGCCAUACCACCCCGUCUGUGCCCAUUCUCGUCUGAUCUCGGAAGCUAAACAGGGUCGGGCCUGGUUAGUA
This 77-nucleotide ribosomal RNA is filed under the name Sinocyclocheilus rhinocerous. The record is from RNAcentral. Lineage: Eukaryota; Metazoa; Chordata; Actinopteri; Cypriniformes; Cyprinidae.